RNAcentral lists this ribosomal RNA (440 nucleotides) under uncultured Desulfobulbus sp. RNAcentral describes it as "bacterial SSU rRNA". It matches the Rfam family "Bacterial small subunit ribosomal RNA", at positions 948 to 1382 of the family's 1533-position model. Lineage: Bacteria; Pseudomonadati; Thermodesulfobacteriota; Desulfobulbia; Desulfobulbales; Desulfobulbaceae. The record is from RNAcentral.
AAUUCGAUGCAACGCGAAGAACCUUACCUGGUCUUGACAUCCCGGAGACCCUUAGGAAACUAGGGGUGCUUCCAUCUGGAAGAAUCUGGAGACAGGUGCUGCAUGGCUGUCGUCAGCUCGUGUCGUGAGAUGUUUGGGUUAAGUCCCGCAACGAGCGCAACCCUUGCCUUUAGUUGCCAGCAGUUCGGCUGGGCACUCUAAAGGGACUGCCGGUGUUAAACCGGAGGAAGGUGGGGAUGACGUCAAGUCCUCAUGGCCUUUAUGACCAGGGCUACACACGUACUACAAUGGCCGAUACAAAGGGCAGCGACACUGCGAGGUGAAGCCAAUCCCGUAAAAUCGGUCUCAGUCCGGAUUGGAGUCUGCAACUCGACUCCAUGAAGUUGGAAUCGCUAGUAAUCGUGGAUCAGCAUGCCACGGUGAAUACGUUCCCGGGCCUU